Papaver somniferum (opium poppy) is the source of this 2418-nucleotide long non-coding RNA. RefSeq lists it as uncharacterized. Lineage: Eukaryota; Viridiplantae; Streptophyta; Magnoliopsida; Ranunculales; Papaveraceae. The transcript is spliced from 10 exons. The record is from RefSeq and is a predicted model, not a curated record.
AGGAAUACAUUCUUUUUAUGUUUCCAUCGUCUCUUUAUUUAGUCGUGUUCGUCUCUUUUCAAACCCCUCAGUACUCCCUCACCCAAACCCCUCACUCCAGCUCUCACCCAAACCCCAAAUCAGAGAAAAAAAUCACACCAUUGAACCAUUUUCAUUGAAACCAGCCAUUAUCAAAACCAGAUUCAAUCUUGAUUUUGUCCAAGAUCUUGAGGGUUUUACUUGAUUUCUGCAAGAUCUUGAGAUGACUAUGGUGAGACUUAGUAGCGGAAGUUGCAGUCGAUCUCAGCCUACAACUAGUAGGUCAACUGCAAGUGGCUGGCCUACUCCCUUGCUCAAUGCUUCUGCAAGUCCAGGUUCUAGGAGUGAACAUUUGUCUUCAUCUGAUGGUGAGAACUCUCCAAAGUCCAAAUGAUGGUCACAGUAAUGAACCAGUGGGAAGUGUACGUACUGAGGAUCAGUGGCAUGCGGCAUUCCAACAAUCUGUCAAUGAAACUCAAAGUUCUCAAGAAAGCAGGAAUGAUAAUAACAUAGUUGUGUCUUUCAAUUUCCUUCCUUUAUAGUGAUGGUAAUAACAUAGGAAUGGUAAUAACGUCAAGUUAUAAUUUCUAAUUAAGUAUAUUGGUUUUAUGCAGUUGAUCACCUACUUCCAGUUGCAUUCAAUGCACUUGGACAACCCAUUGGAGAUUCAAAGGCGCAUUCCACGAAAGUUGGAAUGAUUGCUAAGAGUAUUGUGUCACCAUCUUAUGUUACCUGGAGGAAAGUUCCUCCGGAACUCAAGGAAGAAGUUUGGAGAGCAAUCAAGAAUGUGUACAACGUGCCUGAAUUUUUCAAGGACAAAGCUAUAAAAAUGGCAAACAAAGCUUGGAGGAAUGGGAAGACUCCUCUCAGGAGAAUGUGUGAUACAGCUGGUGCUGCUCUUGCUGAAAAAAAUCCAAGAGGCCAAGAAAUCAUAAGAAGAAAGAUUGGGAGGCUUUUGUGGACAUGGUUAGUGAUGAUAAAGAUAAAGCAGCCAGGGUGAGAGGGAGGAGAGCAAGGAAAGCAGUUAAAGAUCUACAUAGUAUUGAAAGAGAUGGUAUUACGCGGCGUCGCCAUAUAAUGGAACAAUAAUUUGACUAAAAAGCAGGAAGUGAUGUAUGAAAUCUGACAAAAGAAAAUUAUGCGACCUCUUGGCAGGUUGGUGUUCUUAUAGGCAAAGCUCGAGAGACCAUUCGGUUAUUGCAGGAUUCAGGAGCUAAAAUUCAAAUCACAAGAGAUGCUGAAGCUGAUAGAUAUGCAACAACCAAACCUGUUGAAUUAGAUUCAGAUACAAGUCCCAAAUGAGAAGGUUGGUCUGAUCGUUGGCAAGGGAGGUGAAACAAUUAAAUCCUACAGACAAGAUCUGGAGCAAAUAUCCAGAUGCAGAAAAACAUUUGACUACACAAAAUAGUGGAGUCACAAUGAAUGCUUGCACCAGCUUUAGAGCAAGUUCCAGGGAUACUAACCUUGUCGAUGACGAUACUACAUACUACGGCAUUCUGAAAAAGAUACUUGAACUAGACUACAGAGUUUUCACAGAAGUUGUUUUUUUAUUGUGAUUGGGCGCGAGUCGAAGACAAAGUACAUGGAUCAUAUGUGGAUCGAGAGACAAAGUUGAGGUUUGUCAAUUUUGAAAAGUUUGCGAGAAGCUCAAAGGAAGAAGACGAGCCGUUCAUCCAUGCUUCUCAAGCUAGCCAAGUUUUUUACUGCAGCGAUUUGACAAGAAAGUAUUGGAAUCUAGUUUUGGAAUCUCCUAUAAGAUCAGACCCCCAUAUUAAUGCUUUUGAAGAUCCAUAUGUCUUCACUGCAACCUCUAGUGAUGCUCCAUUGAUUUCAGAAACGGUUGGAGAUGAUGGUUAUUGGAGUGGAAUUGCUCAGGGAGAUGAUGAGUAUUUGGAUGUAUAUGAUCAGGAACUAGCACUAGCUGAGUGUGCAGAUGAUGAAUAUUCGGAUGGGGAUCCUUAGGAACUAGCUGAAUGUCGGUUGUAGAUAUUCAAUCACAAUGUUUCUCCGAGUUUGAUACCUUCAUGGAUGCUGGCACUCUGUUCCCGAUGGUCUUAUGAGGCUAACUGAUGUCAUGGUUGAUGGUAAGAUCGUUGUUCCUGUUGGAUGUACAAACGGUUGAAAGAGUUGUGCGUCUACAGUUAUGCUCUCACGCAAGCUAGUACCAAGAUCCUAAUGACUGAAAUUGUUGUUGAAAUUCUUAGGACUUAAAGAAACCUUAAUAAUUAGAAGUUUUUUUUAAUGAUUUUGGACUAAAUUUAUGAGUACAGUUCAAUGUAAUCGGGCUGUCAUUUGGUAUUAGACGAAUCAGGUUCUAUAUAGAAUUUGAACUUGAAUUUGAGAACUUGAGUAAUUGUCAUUUGAAUUUGAAUUUGAAUUGUCAUUUAAAUUGCAGUUUAA